UACGAAGGGGGCUAGCGUUGUUCGGAAUUACUGGGCGUAAAGCGCACGUAGGCGGAUUAGUAAGUCAGAGGUGAAAGCCCGGGGCUCAACCCCGGAACUGCAUUUGAAAAUAUGGGACUCGAGUCUGGAAGAGGUAAGUGGAAUUCCUGGUGUAGAGGUGAAAUUCGUAGAUAUUAGGAAGAACACCAGUGGCGAAGGCGGCUUACUGGACCAAUACUGACGCUGAGGCGCGAAGGCGUGGGGAGCAAACAGG
Molecule: ribosomal RNA, 253 nt
Filed under: uncultured bacterium
Lineage: Bacteria
Description: partial 16S ribosomal RNA
Rfam family: Bacterial small subunit ribosomal RNA
Source: RNAcentral